AACCCCUGCCUAGCAAAGCUUGGCCCAGGACCCAGCUCCAGCAGUCUUGGAGGACAGAGGAUCGAGCCAGAGGAAUCUUCUCAAGCCUCAAACCCUGUUUCUUGCUUACUUUGGACCUCCUCAGCCCUGUCACCCCUUACUUCUUCCGGUUGCUCCCCUUCGGAGUGGGAGUGCCCGUCCGGUGCCCCACCAUUGCUGGCGGGACAGGCCCACAGCCGGAGAGGAAUCCGCCUCAGGAUAAACGCAGCUGGGGUCUCCCCCACCCCUGACUCGGAUGAGAUUUAGAUCAGACUUCGGAGUAGCUGCUGGAAGGAGUUAACACUCGGCUGUUGGGAUGGAGUGAAUGUAGUUCUCAUGCGAGAAGGACAUGAAUCUGGGGGGCCAGGAGAGGACCGCUAUGGUCCGAAUGUGCCCCCCUGAAGUUCGCAUGUGGAAACCGCCCCCCAGCGGUGAUGGUAGUCGGAGGCGGGGCCUCUGGGAGGUGACGAGGCCCUGAGGACUAGGGACUGGGGUCCGUGCCCUGAUGAAGGAGGCCCCAGGGAGCACCCUCGCCCCUUCCCGACUGCGAGGACACAGUGAGAAGAUGCCGUCUGUGAACAAGGAAGUGAGCCGUGGCCAGUGUAGAGAGCAGGACGGAGGCACUCAUGCCAAGCAGUGACUUUCGUCAUCAGUGACACAGCAGCCAACGGUGCUGAGCUAAGACCAGGCACCACCCAGACCAGCACCGGCUGGAGACACCCCGGAACUGAUCACCAGCAGGAGCAGGGGAGAUCUGCAGGGGCCCAAGGCUGAUGACAUCCCUUUAAAAAGGGAGGGCAGAGGUGACCCCUCUGUGUCUGACCACCUCAGAAAGGCAGCUGCCGCCAAAGCCUCUGUCCGGUUCAUCUCCAACAGGAACAGAGACCCUCCGCUGCUUGGACAUAAUAAACAGUGAGCACCGAGGGCUGACCCGGAACUGACCGAGGCCUUAUCUCAACCUCGCACCCACAGACUUUGCGUUCGUUACGUCAACUUUGCUUUCUGACCGAAUCAAGCCGCCGUUGGGAAAGACACACCUCGUUCAUGUGUGUGCCUUCGUACCGUGCUCAUGAAAACUGGACACCAAAUCUGCUGGCGCCCUGUCCUCGGACUUCCAGCCUCCAGAACUGUGAGACAUACAUGUCUGUCAUUCAUAAGCCAUCCCGUCUGUAUUCUUCCGCCACAGCAGCCUGAGCGGACGAGAACAGCAUUUGCACCACUGUGGUGACCCAGGUGCACUGAGGUCUGACCAAGAGGAGCCGAUACAGUUGAGAGAAGUCAAGGAAUUAGAAUGGAUAGGAGAGUAAGACAGACAGAAAACCAAGGACCACCCAUGCAGACUUAUGGUGUGGACGACUAACAGUCACUAAAGGCUGGAGAAGAUGAAGGUCUGGAGAGGCUCCACAGCUGACACCUUCUUUCCAGCUUCGAGCUCUUCAGAGUCAUCCUCCCUGGGCCAUGCCCUACAGCUGCACCCUCUGGAUAAGAUAGCACCUGCUGAACUGGCAUCUGUCUUGUCACUUAUCUGGCCUCACCUCUGAGUCCCUGUUCUUCCUAAGAGAGGUUUCUGGUUUGCCGAUCCAGCUCUUUCCCAGGCCCAGGACUGCAGGGGAGCAGACGCCUGGGACCUGCUUUUCUACACUUGAUCUUAGCCAAAAGGCCGAGAAGCGAUGGGCCCUGCUCUUCUAGAAGGGACUUCUUUCACCUGCUCACAUUCUGUGGGCCACAGCGAGGUACGGGACCAAGCCUCAAAGCAGUGGAUGGGUCGUAACAUGUACUGCCUGUGGGGCACCACGGGCAGGCGGGAAAGGAGGGAAAAGCUGUGAUGGAAUAACGCAAUCUCCCAGAGCCCAGAACUACCCCCAGAUCUGUUUCUCCUCAGCCAUUUUGUGCCUUAAUAGGCACCGACUCUCCCUUUGGCCAGUCAAGGAGCCAGCCAUGAGCGUGUUGACCCACAAACCACCUGGCCAGGAACACACAGAGGCACAGGUGUUGAGAUCCCGCUCAAGCAAGCAGCCGUGUGCAGCCACAUGGAGCUCUGGUGUCACAGGGGGAUAGGAGGAGGGGGGACCAUAGUGUAGCCACAGCAGGGCCAGUGGGCUCCUCCCCAGACCAGUGCAGCGGUCUGAUCUCAGAGCAGGACUCCCCAGAACUCCCAGCAGUGUGACGAAUUAUCCAAUUUCCUCUUAAAAUCCCUUUUGAACACAUAAACAUACGGCUCGAACAACACACAUUUAUUCUUUCUCAGUGCCGGAGUCAAGGUCAAGGUCAAGGCAGGGAUUGUUGCUCCUGAGGCCUCUCUCCUGGGACUGUGGAUGGGGUCUUCCCCUGUGUCCUCAAAAGGUCAUCCCUGUGUGUGCCUCUCUGUCCCAACUUUUUUUUUUUUUUUUUUUUUUUUGAGAGAGAGAGAGAGCAAGCAGGGGAGGGGCAGAGAGAGAGAG
Molecule: long non-coding RNA, 2459 nt
Organism: Lynx canadensis (Canada lynx)
Lineage: Eukaryota; Metazoa; Chordata; Mammalia; Carnivora; Felidae
Exons: 4
Source: RefSeq, a predicted model, not a curated record